UGGGGAAUUUUGGACAAUGGGGGAAACCCUGAUCCAGCCAUCCCGCGUGUGCGAUGAAGGCCUUCGGGUUGUAAAGCACUUUUGGCAGGAAAGAAACGUCGCGGGUUAAUACCCCGCGAAACUGACGGUACCUGCAGAAUAAGCACCGGCUAACUACGUGCCAGCAGCCGCGGUAAUACGUAGGGUGCAAGCGUUAAUCGGAAUUACUGGGCGUAAAGCGUGCGCAGGCGGUUCGGAAAGAAAGAUGUGAAAUCCCAGAGCUUAACUUUGGAACUGCAUUUUUAACUACCGGGCUAGAGUGUGUCAGAGGGAGGUGGAAUUCCGCGUGUAGCAGUGAAAUGCGUAGAUAUGCGGAGGAACACCGAUGGCGAAGGCAGCCUCCUGGGAUAACACUGACGCUCAUGCACGAAAGCGUGGGGAGCAAACAGGAUUAGAUACCCUGGUAGUCCACGCCCUAAACGAUGUCAACUAGCUGUUGGGGGCCUUCGGGCCUUGGUAGCGCAGCUAACGCGUGAAGUUGACCGCCUGGGGAGUACGGUCGCAAGAUUAAAAACUCAAAGG
RNAcentral lists this ribosomal RNA (561 nucleotides) under uncultured bacterium. RNAcentral's name for it is "partial 16S ribosomal RNA". It matches the Rfam family "Bacterial small subunit ribosomal RNA", at positions 355 to 907 of the family's 1533-position model. The record is from RNAcentral.